This 154-nucleotide non-coding RNA is filed under the name Lachnotalea glycerini. Lineage: Bacteria; Bacillati; Bacillota; Clostridia; Lachnospirales; Lachnospiraceae. The record is from RNAcentral.
UCCAUCGCGAAGUGGAAUCUGAAGGAAGUUGUAGGCAAACUUCUGGUCCGACAACACAAAUCGCAUAUAAGGCUAGGCAUCGAGAGAUAAGUUAGCUAAAAGAACUAUGAAAUAAAGACACAAUGCGCACGAUUGUAAGAAGAAAGCAGAUAUU